RNAcentral lists this ribosomal RNA (496 nucleotides) under uncultured bacterium. RNAcentral's name for it is "partial 16S ribosomal RNA". It matches the Rfam family "Bacterial small subunit ribosomal RNA", at positions 28 to 506 of the family's 1533-position model. The record is from RNAcentral.
GACGAACGCUGGCGGCGUGCCUAAUACAUGCAAGUUGAGCGCUGAAGGUUGGUACUUGUACCGACUGGAUGAGCAGCGAACGGGUGAGUAACGCGUGGGGAAUCUGCCUUUGAGCGGGGGACAACAUUUGGAAACGAAUGCUAAUACCGCAUAAAAACUUUAAACACAAGUUUUAAGUUUGAAAGAUGCAAUUGCAUCACUCAAAGAUGAUCCCGCGUUGUAUUAGCUAGUUGGUGAGGUAAAGGCUCACCAAGGCGAUGAUACAUAGCCGACCUGAGAGGGUGAUCGGCCACAUUGGAACUGAGACACGGCCCAAACUCCUACGGGAGGCAGCAGUAGGGAAUCUUCGGCAAUGGACGAAAGUCUGACCUAGCAACGCCGCGUGAGUGAAGAAGGUUUUCGGAUCGUAAAACUCUGUUGGUAGGGAAGAACGUUGGUGAGAGUGGAAAGCUCAUCAAGUGACGGUAACUACCCAGAAAGGAACGGCUAACUACGU